UCUUUUGGCGUUGCUAUGCCGUCUAGUGAAUGGCUGGGCUCAAGAACCGAUGAAGGACGUGCCAAGCUGCGAUAAGCCAUGGGGAGGCGCAAGGAACCGUUGAUCCGUGGAUCUCCUAAUAGGAACUCCUAACACUUUUUGUGUUGACCCGAUAAGGGUUGGGAACGCCCUGAGUUGAAACAUCUGCGUAGGGGCAGGAAGAGAAAACAAACUUUGUGAUGCUGUUAGUAACGGCGAGUGAACACAGCACAGCCUAAACUGAAUCCCUCCUUGUAAGAGGAAGGGAGAUGUGGUGUUUUAAGCCCGCUUUUUAAAUCGGCCAGAUAUAAGAUUAAGUCCCCUGGAACGGGGUACCGUAGAGGGUGAUAGUCCCGUAGUCGCUAUCUGGUGGUUGUAGCGUGUGCUUGAGUACCGUGGGUCGGAAAUCUCGCGGGAAUAUUGGGGGACACUUACCUCCAAGGCUAAAAAUAUCUUGAGACCGAUAGCGCAAUAGUAGAGUGAUCGAAAGCUGAAAAGCACCCUGAGAAGGGAGGUUAAAAGAGCCUGAAACGAGACGGCGAUGGAGGGACAAGGCAUUAAAGGAUCUUCCACUUGAAGGAAGCAACCGCGAGGUUGUUGUACGAGAGUGGUUGCCAAUGUUUUGUCGUACGUUUUGAAGAACGGGCCAAGGAGUGUACUCGAAUGGCGAGGCUAACCCAGUAGUGGGGGAGUCGUAGGGAAACCAACAAGCCUGCAAGCAAUGAGAGGCGACGUAUACAAGUGCGUGGAGUCAUUAGGGUACGACCCGAAACCAGGUGAUCUAGACGUGGGCAGAUUGAAGCGUAACGAAAGUUACGUGGAGGAUCGUUAGGGGUUUUGACGUGCAAAUCAUUCCCGUGACCUACGCCUAGGGGUGAAAGUCCAAUCGAACUUGGAAACAGCUGGUUCCUCCAGAAACAUAUCGUAGUAUGACCUCACACGAGGCCGGAGGCCGAGUAGAGCACUGAUUAAGGGAGCCGGGCGGGAAACUGCUCGUCCUUUUGUCAAACUCCAAAGCGGCUUUCGCUGUAGACUGUGGGCAGUCCGGGCUGGGGGGUAAGCUUCUAGUCCGUAAGGGAGACAACCCAGACCUGGGUUAAGGUCCCUAAUUGUAGGCUAAGUGUAAACACUGAAGGGCGUCCCAAGCCCUAGACAACUGGGAGGUGAGCUUAGAAGCAGCUACCCUUUAAAAAUAGCGUAACAGCUUACCAGUCGAGGUUUGGGGCCCCGAAAAUGGACGGGGCUCAAGCCUACAACCGAGACCCAGGCGUACCGAGAGGUAAUCGCGUAUGGAGGCGUUCCGGGUGGGUAGAAGCAAGGCUGUAAAGUCUUGUGGACCACCUGGAAACGAAAAUCUUGGCAUUAGUAGCAGCUUAGCAAGGUGAGAAUCCUUGCCGCCGAAAGGGCCAGGUUUCCUCGGCAAUGAUCGUCAGCCGAGGGUUAGUCGGUCCUAAGAUACAUCUUAACCGGAAUGUGUCAAAAGGGAAACAGGUUAAUAUUCCUGUACUCUUGCAUAGUGAAACCAACGCUUCAGGUUAACAUUUGCAGGCUCGUCUGCCUGUUCAAGCUAAUAGCCUCGUGGAGAACCGUAAUGGUGAGAAGCGGGGUAACAUGUGAUGACGUAAGAAAUGCCACCCUGGAGCCCAUGAAAAGGGAAUGCAAGAACCGUACCGAGAUCCGACACAGGUGCCCCUAGUUUAGUAGACUAAGGCGUGUCGGUUUACCGUGGCCAAGGGAAUUCGGCAAAUUAGCCCCGUAACUUCGGGAUAAGGGGUGCCUGCCAUGAAGAUGGCAGGUCGCAGUGACGAGGGAGCGCUGACUGUCUAAUAACAACAUAGCUGAUCGCCAAACUGUAAAGUCUAGUACGAUCAGUGAAUCCUGCCCAGUGCAGGUACCUGAAAACCUCGUUCAAGGGGAAGAAGGGCCUGUCAACGGCGGGGGUAACUAUAACCCUCUUAAGGUAGCGUAGUACCUUGCCGCUUAAUUGGCGGCUUGCAUGAAUGGAUCAACGAGCGCUCUACUGUCCCUGGCCACGCGCCGGUGAACUUUACAUCCUAGUGCAGAGUCUAGGGACCCCUAAUGGGAAGUGAAGACCCCGUGGAGCUUUACUGCAACCUGUCGCUGGGUUGUGGCCCUGGAUGUGCAGCGUAGGUAGGACCCGUCGAAACCAAGACGCUAGUUUUGGUGGAGGGGCUCAUGAGACACUACCCUUCUUGGACUACGACCCUAACUCAGAGAUGAGGACCCCGAUAGGUGGGCAGUUUGGCUGGGGCGGCACGCCCGCGAAAAAAUAUCGAGGGCGCUCUAAGGUCAACUCAAUCGAGUCAGAAACUCGACCGAGAGUGUAAGGGCAUAAGUUGGCUUGACUGGCAACCGCAUAAUGAGGUUGGCAGAGACGAAAGUCGGACCUAACGAACCACUACGCCUUCUAAGUGAGGGCUAUUGAUGUCAGAAAAGCUACCCCGGGGAUAACAGAGUCGUCGCCGGCAAGAGUACAUAUCGACCCGGCGGCUUGCUACCUCGAUGUCGGUUCUUUCCAUCCUGGCAGUGCAGCAGCUGCCAAGGGUGAGGUUGUUCGCCUAUUAAAGGAGAUCGUGAGCUGGGUUUAGACCGUCGUGAGACAGGUCGGUUACUAUCUGUUAGGGGUGCAAGAAAGUCUGAGGGGAAGUUGCUUUUAGUACGAGAGGAACAAGGCAACGGCGUCACUAGUCUACCAGUUGUCCGACAGGGCAUCGCUGGGCAGCCACACGCUAAGUUGUAAGGGCUGAAAGCAUCUAAGCCCGAAAAACACCCUGAAAAGAGACUUUCACACGGACACUCAUAAAAGAUGAGUUAGAUAGAGUUGAGGUGUACACACCAAGGUAACGAGGUGCUCAGCCUGCAACCACUAAAAGUCCAACCCGCCAAAAAA
Molecule: ribosomal RNA, 2929 nt
Rfam family: Archaeal large subunit ribosomal RNA
Source: Rfam